AAAAAGGAGUAAGGGAGAGUAGCAGUAAACCCUCAAACCCUCCGCCUCCUUCAUUCAACCAUGACCGUCGGUGAUGGAGAGUUUGCGAUUUGAUGGAUUUUGUGACUUGUCAAACAUUGAAACUAAAAAGCAGGCAGAGACUUCUUGCUUUGUCGGCAUGAAAUGAGGAGGUAGAGAGCAGAUGAAUGACGGCCUCCCACAUCGGACGUGGAUUACCUCCGGGGUUCAAUUGCCGCGGUGCAUUCCGUUUUGCAGCAUUCUCUAUGUCCUGAAUCUGUCUUCUUCAAGAGCUAGAUGACGCUGUUGUAAAACACUUGAUUGUAAUUUUUGAUUUUUUUUCAGAUCUAGGUUUGAGUUUGAGUCUUGUUUAAUUUUCAUUUUCGUUUUUGUUCCUUUUUUCUUAUUUUUUGUCAUUCUGAAAUUGUGUGUUUGUAAUUUUUGAGUAUAAUUUUCAAUUUCGUUUGAGUAUUAUGUAUUUCUGGCAUUCUGAA
Long non-coding RNA from Beta vulgaris subsp. vulgaris (sugar beet), 491 nucleotides. RefSeq lists it as uncharacterized. Lineage: Eukaryota; Viridiplantae; Streptophyta; Magnoliopsida; Caryophyllales; Amaranthaceae. The transcript has 2 exons. The record is from RefSeq and is a predicted model, not a curated record.